GACGAACGCUGGCGGCGUGCUUAACACAUGCAAGUCGAACGAAGAGCGAUGGAAGCUUGCUUCUAUCAAUCUUAGUGGCGAACGGGUGAGUAACGCGUAAUCAACCUGCCCUUCAGAGGGGGACAACAGUUGGAAACGACUGCUAAUACCGCAUACGAUCUAACCUCGGCAUCGAGGAAAGAUGAAAGGUGGCCUCUAUGUAUAAGCUAUCACUGAAGGAGGGGAUUGCGUCUGAUUAGCUAGUUGGAGGGGUAACGGCCCACCAAGGCGAUGAUCAGUAGCCGGUCUGAGAGGAUGAACGGCCACAUUGGGACUGAGACACGGCCCAGACUCCUACGGGAGGCAGCAGUGGGGAAUCUUCCGCAAUGGACGAAAGUCUGACGGAGCAACGCCGCGUGAGUGAUGACGGCCUUCGGGUCGUAAAGCUCUGUUAAUCGGGACGAAAGGCCUUCUUGCGAAUAGUGAGAAGGAUUGACGGUACCGGAAUAGAAAGCCACGGCUAACUACGUG
RNAcentral lists this ribosomal RNA (510 nucleotides) under uncultured bacterium. RNAcentral's name for it is "partial 16S ribosomal RNA". It matches the Rfam family "Bacterial small subunit ribosomal RNA", at positions 28 to 507 of the family's 1533-position model. The record is from RNAcentral.